GGUCACAUAUGAAUGGGUGAAAGGAUGGAGAAGGUGGAAGGGAAUAAGCAAAAAAAAAAAAAAAAAACCCUAUCUACACCUUAUACCCCCCCACAGCUUGCUAUCUAAUACUACAGCUGUGGGGGGUGGGGGGGAGGGGGGCAUAAGGUGUAGAUAGGGUUUUUUUUUUUGCUUAUUCCCUUCCACCUUCUCCAUCCUUUCACCCAUGCACUAUUAUCUGG
This 221-nucleotide microRNA precursor is filed under the name Pelobates cultripes (western spadefoot toad). The record is from RNAcentral. Lineage: Eukaryota; Metazoa; Chordata; Amphibia; Anura; Pelobatidae.